This 807-nucleotide ribosomal RNA is filed under the name Triticum aestivum (bread wheat). RNAcentral describes it as "partial small subunit ribosomal RNA". Lineage: Eukaryota; Viridiplantae; Streptophyta; Magnoliopsida; Poales; Poaceae. The record is from RNAcentral.
AUGACGAACGAUGUCAAUCUCAUGUACCAGAAGUACGUUGCCGAGUUGGACACGAUUACGCCUGAGCAGGUGGAAUGGCAGCCAUAUGGCGCCGAUGACAGACUUGGGUACACCCUGGAGUUUAGCAUCAACCCGAUGUGCUUGCGGGAUAGGUAUCUCUGGCUUAUGCGGUGCCCACUGAUAUGCAACUGGGCUAUUGAGUUUCAUUUGCCACAUCGCGUGUUUCGUCAGUUUGGUCUGUUCCAGCCUCACCCGCCGGAAUGGGUGGAUACUGACAAAGCACUUCAUAGGUUGGACAGGAGAAGGCAGCGGAAGAUAAAGGACUGGGACAAGCAUCAUGCUUCGUAUGUUACCCGCUUCCAGCUUUGCAUGGAGCAAGCUCGUAGCAGUGCACGCGCCCAGCUUCGUGAGCAUAACCCACUUGCUUUUGAUAACUACAUACGAUGGCUUCUUGAAAAUACUCGAGUUGAGAUAUGCCCGCCAGCAUAUAAUGAGGAUAUUCUUGAAGAACCCGUAAACUUUGAGGAUCUAUCAAAGUGGAAGUACAACAGAGAUGUCAGGGUAGGGCAAGGAGUCCCUGCUGUUCCGGUGAUUAACUAUGUGGUAAAGUGUUCCUUCUUUACUUUCCCGUUGGCCGUACUACACAUGUUUGAAUGGCUAACGUGUUCAUUCUUUCUCAUCCGCAACGCACCGAGAUCAAGAAAGCAGCUGAUGAGAGCCAGUCUAUUCUCGAGAACACACCAGUUGGAAAAGGCAAUGAUGAUGGUUCACUACGAGCAUUCCUCAAGCGUCAGGCCAAGAAGUUAA